Molecule: transfer RNA, 70 nt
Filed under: Paraneetroplus synspilus x Amphilophus citrinellus
Lineage: Eukaryota; Metazoa; Chordata; Actinopteri; Cichliformes; Cichlidae
Description: tRNA-Leu
Rfam family: tRNA
About the family: Transfer RNA (tRNA) molecules are approximately 80 nucleotides in length. Their secondary structure includes four short double-helical elements and three loops (D, anti-codon, and T loops).
Source: RNAcentral
GCUCCUAAAGGAUACAGCUCAUCCGUUGGUCUUAGGAACCAAAAACUCUUGGUGCAAAUCCAAGUAGCAG